UAAAAAAAAUAGAAAAAUUCUGUUUUGAAAAAACUAGGUGCGGGCAGGUCCGUCGAAACAAGGAAUCAAAUUGGUGUGGCCUUACCAUAAAAUACAGAUCACGUUUUAAUUUUGGUGGUGUUGCUUAAACCAUUACAGAGUUAUGCCCAUUUACAAACGAAACAAGAGUGCACACGCUGAAAUGUCUUGUCUUCUUUACUUAUCAUUGAUAUUAUGUUGAUAGUCUUAAAUAAAAAAGCUUUCCUACAACCAUUACAUCAACUUAAAAUGAUCCAUGAAAAUGAGGUCAAGGUCAUAUAAACCAAAUUGGAAAUACAUGUACACUAAUUAUAGUUGAACUAUUGCUUAUUGACACCUGCCAGCUAGACAUGUACACCUUACAAUCUUUCCAUACACCAAAUAUAGUAAACCUAUUGCAAACAGUAUAGGAAAAACAGAGCAAAACACAAAAACUUAACUAUAACCACUGAACCAUGACAAAAAGGCCAAGGGCAGGUGUCACCUGCCAGUUGGACAUGUACACCUUACAAUCAUUUCAUACACCGAAUAUACUAGACAUAUUGCCUUUAGUAUCUGAGAUAUAGACUUGACCACCAAAACUGAACCUUGAUCACUGAUCCAUGAAUUGAGGUCAAGGUAUAAUGAAAACUGUCUGACGGGCAUGAGGACCUUGCAAGGUAUGCACAUACCAAAUAUAGUUAUCCUUUAACUCAUUUAUUAAGAGAGAAAUUAACAUUACAAAAAAAUACUUUUUUUUUUAAAGUAGUCACUGAACCAUGAAACUGAGGUCAAAGACAAUUGACAUGAGACAGACAGAAACGUCGUAACAUGAGGCAUGUAUAUACAAAGUAUGAAGCAUCCAGGUCUUCCACCUUAAUAUUAAGCUUUUUAAAAGUUAGCUAAUGCUGCUGUCAGAUCACUAUCCCUAUUUCGAGCU
RNAcentral lists this long non-coding RNA (937 nucleotides) under Mytilus galloprovincialis (Mediterranean mussel). The record is from RNAcentral. Lineage: Eukaryota; Metazoa; Mollusca; Bivalvia; Mytilida; Mytilidae.